UGGGCUAUGGCCAAGUGGUUAAGGCAUCGGACUCUGAAUCCGAGACCGAAAGUUCAAAUCUUUCUAGCCCUGCCA
Molecule: transfer RNA, 75 nt
Filed under: Tenericutes bacterium HGW-Tenericutes-1
Lineage: Bacteria; Bacillati; Mycoplasmatota
Description: tRNA-Gln
Rfam family: tRNA
About the family: Transfer RNA (tRNA) molecules are approximately 80 nucleotides in length.
Source: RNAcentral